ACACAUGCAAGUCGAACGAAGCCUUCGGGCUUAGUGGCGCACGGGUGCGUAACGCGUGGGAACCUGCCUUUAGGUUCGGAAUAACAGUUAGAAAUGACUGCUAAUACCGGAUGAUGUCUUCGGACCAAAGAUUUAUCGCCUUUAGAUGGGCCCGCGUUGGAUUAGAUAGUUGGUGGGGUAAUGGCCUACCAAGUCGACGAUCCAUAGCUGGUCUGAGAGGAUGAUCAGCCACACUGGGACUGAGACACGGCCCAGACUCCUACGGGAGGCAGCAGUGGGGAAUAUUGGACAAUGGGCGAAAGCCUGAUCCAGCAAUGCCGCGUGAGUGAUGAAGGCCUUAGGGUUGUAAAGCUCUUUUACCAGGGAUGAUAAUGACAGUACCUGGAGAAUAAGCUCCGGCUAACUCCGUGCCAGCAGCCGCGGUAAUACGGAGGGAGCUAGCGUUGUUCGGAAUUACUGGGCGUAAAGCGCGCGUAGGCGGCUUUUCAAGUCAGGGGUGAAAUCCCGGGGCUCAACCCCGGAACUGCCCUUGAAACUGGAUGGCUAGAAUACUGGAGAGGUGAGUGGAAUUCCGAGUGUAGAGGUGAAAUUCGUAGAUAUUCGGAAGAACACCAGUGGCGAAGGCGACUCACUGGACAGUUAUUGACGCUGAGGUGCGAA
Molecule: ribosomal RNA, 660 nt
Filed under: uncultured Erythrobacter sp.
Lineage: Bacteria; Pseudomonadati; Pseudomonadota; Alphaproteobacteria; Sphingomonadales; Erythrobacteraceae
Description: bacterial SSU rRNA
Rfam family: Bacterial small subunit ribosomal RNA
Source: RNAcentral